GUAAUGCCUCGCCAUUUAGGCUGCCUCCAAUAAAUCUAAAAGUGUUCGCGGGAGAGAGCAACGGGCUGCUGCCUUGGAGUCCCUGGGAGAGCGGACGCCUUCAGGGCGCCGGUCUAGUUUAGUUGCAAGUAGUGUUAAAGUGGCCAAGCCGCUUAAGUCGGGUAUAAACAAAUGCGCUUUUGCCGGAGCAGCUGCCAGCCCUGCCUAGCAAGCUGAUCCUGCAGAAUACACGCUUUGGGUUUAUCGUUGCUGGAUUGGCUGGUGCUUCCGACACAGCCCCGGUAUCCAACUUAGUAUCAAAUUAUUGCUGUCAACAGCUAACACACAACAGUGACAUAGGUAAA
Molecule: long non-coding RNA, 344 nt
Filed under: Leguminivora glycinivorella
Lineage: Eukaryota; Metazoa; Arthropoda; Insecta; Lepidoptera; Tortricidae
Description: uncharacterized LOC125236193
Source: RNAcentral